CCUGCCAGUAGUCAUAUGCUUGUCUCAAAGAUUAAGCCAUGCAUGUCUAAGUACGCACGGCCGGUACAGUGAAACUGCGAAUGGCUCAUUAAAUCAGUUAUCGUUUAUUUGAUAGUACCUUACUACUUGGAUAACCGUGGUAAUUCUAGAGCUAAUACAUGCUAAAAACCCCAACUUCGGAAGGGGUGUAUUUAUUAGAUAAAAAACCAACGCCCUUCGGGGCUCCUUGGUGAUUCAUAAUAACUAAACGAAUCGCAUGGCCUUGCGCCGGCGAUGGUUCAUUCAAAUUUCUGCCCUAUCAACUUUCGACGGCUGGGUCUUGGCCAGCCAUGGUGACAACGGGUAACGGAGGGUUAGGGCUCGACCCCGGAGAAGGAGCCUGAGAAACGGCUACUACAUCCAAGGAAGGCAGCAGGCG
This 418-nucleotide ribosomal RNA is filed under the name Heterosigma akashiwo. Its description in RNAcentral is "partial Eukaryotic small subunit ribosomal RNA". It matches the Rfam family "Eukaryotic small subunit ribosomal RNA", at positions 13 to 434 of the family's 1831-position model. Lineage: Eukaryota; Raphidophyceae; Chattonellales; Chattonellaceae. The record is from RNAcentral.